RNAcentral lists this ribosomal RNA (217 nucleotides) under uncultured bacterium. RNAcentral's name for it is "partial 16S ribosomal RNA". It matches the Rfam family "Bacterial small subunit ribosomal RNA", at positions 57 to 305 of the family's 1533-position model. The record is from RNAcentral.
GCAAGUCGAACGAACCUUCGGGUUAGUGGCGGACGGGUGAGUAACGCGUGGGAAUCUGCCCUCAGGAGGGGGAUAACGGCUGGAAACUGCCGCUAAUACCCCAUAUGCCGAGAGGUGAAAUGAAUUUCGCCUGAGGAUGAGCCCGCGUCUGAUUAGCUAGUUGGUGGGGUAAGGGCUUACCAAGGCGUCGAUCAGUAGCUGGCCUGAGAGGGUGAUC